UACAGGGGGGGCAAGCGUUGUUCGGAAUUACUGGGCGUAAAGGGCUCGUAGGUGGCCGACUAAGUCAGACGUGAAAUCCCUCAGCUUAACUGGGGAACUGCGUCUGAUACUGGAUGGCUUGAGUUUGGGAGAGGGAUGCGGAAUUCCAGGUGUAGCGGUGAAAUGCGUAGAUAUCUGGAGGAACACCGGUGGCGAAGGCGGCAUCCUGGACCAACACUGACACUGAGGAGCGAAAGCCAGGGGAGCAAACAGG
Molecule: ribosomal RNA, 253 nt
Filed under: uncultured bacterium
Lineage: Bacteria
Description: partial 16S ribosomal RNA
Rfam family: Bacterial small subunit ribosomal RNA
Source: RNAcentral